GUCUUCAGAAAGAAAGCAGGGGCAGGUGAUGUGACCAUCUCUGUCUCGCAGAUGGGGAAACUGAGACACCAAAUGUGGAGCCAGGUGUCCACGUUCACACAGGCAGGAGGUGACAGAGAGGGUCAGGGCGCAGCAAGGAAUGGAGCUGCAGUGAGAGCCCAGAGGAACCCAACCACAGCCUCCUGGAGCGGACUGAAACCCGUCCCCAGGCUUUGGAGCUACAUGUGGACCCAGGCUCGGCCACCCCUCCCUGUCUGGGGCCAGGGGAAGACAGCCAAGUGACAGUCAAUCGAGGCCCCAAAACCACCCUGCAGAUGACAAGAACCACAGAACAUCGCCACGCAGGGGCUGGGGAACAUGAAAGCCAAGGUCAUGACAGGAAGGAGAGAGGGCAUGCUCUCCUGUGACCCCAGGAUGCCACCAGGGAGGUGCAGGCUGGAUCCUGCAGGGGACCCAGGGAGGCAGCAGAGCGGGGGUCCUGCAGCGUGCCGGGUGUCAGAUAAGGCCUGCAAAGCUGGGGCAGGGACCAGUAGACAGACAGACGGAAAGAAGGUGCACACAGGCCACGGGGAGGAACGACGGUGGGACGGUGAGCAGUGGUGCCCGGUUAUGCCCAGUUCCCCGUAGCGGGCAUCCCUCACCCCCUAUGGGGCCACGGGGUCCCCCGUCUUUCCAGAGCCCCACCCUGAUUCUUUCUUCUCCUUUCUCCCUCCUUUUCCUCUUUACAAUACAG
RNAcentral lists this long non-coding RNA (733 nucleotides) under Fukomys damarensis (Damara mole-rat). RNAcentral's name for it is "lncRNA (ENSFDAG00000026925.1)". Lineage: Eukaryota; Metazoa; Chordata; Mammalia; Rodentia; Bathyergidae. The record is from RNAcentral.